Molecule: ribosomal RNA, 726 nt
Filed under: uncultured fungus
Lineage: Eukaryota; Fungi
Description: SSU rRNA
Rfam family: Eukaryotic small subunit ribosomal RNA
Source: RNAcentral
CGUGUGGUUCUAUUUUGUUGGUUUCUAGGACCGCCGGUAAUGAUUAAUAGGGAUAGUCGGGGGCAUCAGUAUUCCAAUCGUCAGAAGGUGAAAUUCUUGGAUUGAUUGAAGACUAACUACUGCGAAAGCAUUUGCCCAAGGAUGUUUUCAUUAAUCAGUGAACGAAAGUUAGGGGAUCGAAGACGAUCAGAUACCGUCGUAGUCUUAACCAUAAACUAUGCCGACUAGGGAUCGGACGGUGUUAGUAUUUUGACCCGUUCGGCACCUUACGAGAAAUCAAAGUUUUUGGGUUCUGGGGGGAGUAUGGUCGCAAGGCUGAAACUUAAAAAAAUUGACGGAAGGGCACCACCAGGCGUGGAGCCUGCGGCUUAAUUUGACUCAACGCGGGGAAACUCACCAGGUCCAGACACAAUAAGGAUUGACAGAUUGARAGUUCUUUCUUGAUUUUGUGGGUGGUGGUGCAUGGCCGUUCUUAGUUGGUGGAGUGAUUUGUCUGCUUAAUUGCGAUAACGAACGAGGCCUUAACCUGCUAAAUAGCCAGGCCCGCUUUGGCGGGUCGCCGGCUUCUUGGAGGGACUAUCGGCUCAAGCCGAUGGAAGUUUGAGGCAAUAACAGGUCUGUGAUGCCCUUAGAUGUUCUGGGCCGCACGCGCGCUACACUGACAGAGCCAACGAGUUCAUUUCCUUAGCCGAAAGGUUUGGGUAAUCUUGUUAAACUCUGUCGUGC